RNAcentral lists this ribosomal RNA (253 nucleotides) under Enterobacter hormaechei subsp. steigerwaltii. RNAcentral describes it as "partial 23S ribosomal RNA". It matches the Rfam family "Bacterial large subunit ribosomal RNA", at positions 1258 to 1515 of the family's 2925-position model. Lineage: Bacteria; Pseudomonadati; Pseudomonadota; Gammaproteobacteria; Enterobacterales; Enterobacteriaceae. The record is from RNAcentral.
GUGCUGUGAGGCAUGCUGGAGGUAUCAGAAGUGCGAAUGCUGACAUAAGUAACGAUAAAGCGGGUGAAAAGCCCGCUCGCCGGAAGACCAAGGGUUCCUGUCCAACGUUAAUCGGGGCAGGGUGAGUCGACCCCUAAGGCGAGGCCGAAAGGCGUAGUCGAUGGGAAACAGGUUAAUAUUCCUGUACUUGGUGUUACUGCGAAGGGGGGACGGAGAAGGCUAUGUCAGCCGGGCGACGGUUGUCCCGGUUUAA